AGGACGAACGCUGGCGGCGUGCCUAACACAUGCAAGUCGAGCGGAGACAUGCGACGGAAGAGAAGUUUCGGAUGGAUCGGAAGAUGUAUGUUUAGCGGCGGACGGGUGAGUAACGCGUGAGCAACCUGUCCUUCACAGGGGGAUAACACAGCGAAAGUUGUACUAAUACCGCAUGAGACCACAGCGGGACAUCCCGCAGGGGUCAAAGGAGCAAUCCGGUGAAGGGUGGGCUCGCGUCCGAUUAGAUAGUUGGUGAGGUAACGGCCCACCAAGUCGACGAUCGGUAGCCGACCUGAGAGGGUGAUCGGCCACAUUGGGACUGAGACACGGCCCAAACUCCUACGGGAGGCAGCAGUGGGGAAUAUUGGGCAAUGGGGGGAACCCUGACCCAGCAACGCCGCGUGAGGGAAGAAGGUUUUCGGAUCGUAAACCUCUGUCCUUGGUGAAGAGAGAGAGACGGUAGCCAAGGAGGAAGCCCCGGCUAACUACGUGCCAGCAGCAGC
RNAcentral lists this ribosomal RNA (503 nucleotides) under uncultured bacterium. RNAcentral's name for it is "bacterial SSU rRNA". It matches the Rfam family "Bacterial small subunit ribosomal RNA", at positions 26 to 518 of the family's 1533-position model. The record is from RNAcentral.